RNAcentral lists this ribosomal RNA (691 nucleotides) under uncultured bacterium. Its description in RNAcentral is "bacterial SSU rRNA". It matches the Rfam family "Bacterial small subunit ribosomal RNA", at positions 9 to 687 of the family's 1533-position model. The record is from RNAcentral.
GAGUUUGAUCCUGGCUCAGAUUGAACGCUGGCGGCAGGCCUAACACAUGCAAGUCGAGCGGUAACAGAAAGAAAGCUUGCUUUCUUUGCUGACGAGCGGCGGACGGGUGAGUAAUGCCUGGGAAUAUACCCUGAUGUGGGGGAUGACUAUUGGAAACGAUAGCUAAUACCGCAUAAUCUCUUAGGAGCAAAGAGGGGGACCUUCGGGCCUCUCGCGUCAGGAUUAGCCCAGGUGGGAUUAGCUAGUUGGUGGGGUAAUGGCUCACCAAGGCGACGAUCCCUAGCUGGUCUGAGAGGAUGAUCAGCCACACUGGAACUGAGACACGGUCCAGACUCCUACGGGAGGCAGCAGUGGGGAAUAUUGCACAAUGGGGGAAACCCUGAUGCAGCCAUGCCGCGUGUAUGAAGAAGGCCUUCGGGUUGUAAAGUACUUUCAGUUGUGAGGAAGGCGUUGGAGUUAAUAGCUUCAGCGUUUGACGUUAGCAACAGAAGAAGCACCGGCUAACUCCGUGCCAGCAGCCGCGGUAAUACGGAGGGUGCGAGCGUUAAUCGGAAUUACUGGGCGUAAAGCGCAUGCAGGCGGUCUGUUAAGCAAGAUGUGAAAGCCCGGGGCUCAACCUCGGAACAGCAUUUUGAACUGGCAGACUAGAGUCUUGUAGAGGGGGGUAGAAUUUCAGGUGUAGCGGUGAAAU